RNAcentral lists this ribosomal RNA (801 nucleotides) under uncultured Bacillota bacterium. RNAcentral's name for it is "bacterial SSU rRNA". It matches the Rfam family "Bacterial small subunit ribosomal RNA", at positions 80 to 890 of the family's 1533-position model. The record is from RNAcentral. Lineage: Bacteria; Bacillati; Bacillota.
UAGCAAUACUAUCCAGUGGCAGACGGGUGAGUAACGCGUAGGAAUCUACCUCUGGGUAAGGCAUAGCCGGUCGAAAGGCCGGGUAAUUCCUUAUAGUUCCCGCAAGGGUAGAGGACUUAACGGUCCGCCGGGAGAGGAGCCUGCGUCCUAUCAGCUAGUUGGUGAGGUAAAAGCUCACCAAGGCGAUGACGGGUAGCUGGACUGAGAGGUCGAUCAGCCACAACUGCACUGAGACACGGGCAGUACACCUACGGGUGGCAGCAACCAGGAAUAUUGCGCAAUGGACGAAAGUCUGACGCAGCGACGCCGCGUGGAGGACGAAGGCCUUAGGGUCGUAAACUCCUUUUGCCAAGCCGUUCACAGCUUGGAGAAUAAGCCCCUACUAACUACGUGCCAGAAGUCUCGGUAAUACGUAGGGGGCAAGCGUUAUCCGGAUUUACUGGGCGUAAAGUGUGCGUAGGCGCCCCAUUAAGUCGUACUUUAAAGACUAAGGCUUACCCUUAGAAGUGAGUACGAUACUGUUGGGGUUGAGGAUUGAUAGGGCAGCUGGAACAGUACGUGUAGCAGUGAAAUGCGUUGAUAUGUACUGGAACACCAAGGGCGAAGGCAGGCUGCUGGGUUUUUCCUGACGCUGAGGCACGAAAGCUAGGGUAGCGAAACAGAUUAGAUACCUGUGUAGUCCUAGCCGUAAACGAUGUCCGCUAACUCUUCGUUUCACGGAGCAGAGAAAAUUUUUCUGUUGCGUGAAGCGAGGGGUUCAAGCUAACGCGUUAAGCGGACCGCCUGGGGAGUACGACCGCA